Molecule: small nuclear RNA, 389 nt
Filed under: Bos grunniens (domestic yak)
Lineage: Eukaryota; Metazoa; Chordata; Mammalia; Artiodactyla; Bovidae
Source: RNAcentral
GUGCUCGCUUUGGCAGCACAUAUACUAAAAUUGGAACAUUAUAGAGAAGACUAGCAGAGAAGGCAAUGGCAACCCACUCCAGUACUCUUGCCUGGAAAAUCCCAUGGGCAGAGGAGCCUGGUAGGCUGCAGUCCAUGGGGUGGCGAAGAGUCAGACACAACUGAGUAACUUCACUUUCACUUUUCACUUUCAUGCAUUGGAGAAGGAAAUGGCAACCCACUCCAGUGUUCUUGUCUGGAGAAUCCCAGGGACGGAGGAGCCUGGCGGGCUGCUGUCUAUGGGGUCACACAGAGUCGGACACAACUGAAGUGACUUAGCAGCAGCAGCGAAGACUAGCAUGGCCCUUGAGCAAGGAUGACAUGCAAAUUCAUGAAUCAUUCCAUAUUUGG